This 260-nucleotide ribosomal RNA is filed under the name uncultured archaeon. RNAcentral describes it as "partial 16S ribosomal RNA". It matches the Rfam family "Archaeal small subunit ribosomal RNA", at positions 723 to 982 of the family's 1478-position model. The record is from RNAcentral.
ACUACAUUAGAUACCCGCGUAGUCCUAGCCGUAAACGAUACUCGCUUGGUGUCGGCCACGGUGCGACCGUUGUCGGUGCCGUAGGGAAGCCGUGAAGCGAGCCACCUGGGAAGUACGGCCGCAAGGCUGAAACUUAAAGGAAUUGGCGGGGGAGCACCACAACGGGUGGAGCUUGCGGUUUAAUUGGAUUCAACGCCGGAAAUCUUACCGGGACCGACAGCAACAUGAAGGCCAGGCUGAAGACUUUGCCGGAUUAGCUG